GGUCGAUGAUGACAAGUAAAAGGUCUGAGGGCACAGGGGAGUUACACUCCAUUACCCUUUCGGCUCCCAGCAGUCCCUGUUCUGUCAUGCCAUAGUAGAGCUGUGAUGGAGGAAGAGAUUGCUGACAGUUCGGGAUUAAUUCGGUUCCAGUUCUCCACAGUGAAGGGAGUUGUGGCACUGAAUGUCAUCCAACAGAUCUGGUUCAGAGGAGCUCGUGGUGUUGGGGUGUCUUUGUUUGCUGUGUGUGAUCUAAAGUUUUCAAGCUGAGACC
RNAcentral lists this small nucleolar RNA (271 nucleotides) under Apaloderma vittatum (bar-tailed trogon). Its description in RNAcentral is "Small Cajal body specific RNA 6". It matches the Rfam family "Small Cajal body specific RNA 6". From Rfam's summary of the family: U88 is small Cajal body specific RNA (scaRNA). scaRNAs are a novel class of small nuclear RNAs which localise to the Cajal bodies. U88 is found associated with both fibrillarin and Gar1p and co-localises with coilin in Cajal bodies. Lineage: Eukaryota; Metazoa; Chordata; Aves; Trogoniformes; Trogonidae. The record is from Rfam by way of RNAcentral.